GAAUCUUAAAAAGGAGCAAUUUUUAAAAAGAUGAUGUACAGGGAAACGGAAGUGAGCGGCGGGGCUAGCUGACCGUAACAGGUUGAGGGGCUCUUCGCAGAGUGAGCUGAAGAUGAAUACCAGAGGACUUGGAUCUCAGCUAAAGGACAGUAUUCCAGUUACUGAGCUGUCAGCAAGUGGACCUUUUGAAAGUCAUGAUCUUCUUCAGAAAGGUUUUUCUUGUGUGAAAAAUGAACUUUUGCCCAGUCAUCCUCUUGAAUUAUCAGAAAAAAAUUUCCAGCUCAACCAAGAUAAAAUGAAUUUUUCUACACUGAGAAACAUCCAGGGUCUGUUUGCUCCUCUAAAAUUGCAAAUGGAAUUCAAGGCAGUGCAACAGGUUCAGCGUCUUCCAUUUCUUCCAAGCUCAAACCUUUCACUUGAUAUUUUGAGGGGUAAUGAUGAGACUAUUGGGUUUGAAGACAUUCUUAAUGACCCAUCACAAAGUGAACUAAUGGGAGAACCACAUUUAAUGGUGGAAUAUAAACUUGGUUUACUGUAAUGCAGUGAGCUGACCAUGGAAAUGGAGGGGCUUUAUCUUGUUUACAAUCGUCUUUUUACUAUAAUUUUAUGUAUACAACAUUAAAAGUACUGACACAUGAAAAAAAUAAAAAAUUAAAAAAAUAAAAAGAUGAUGUACAAAAAAAUGCAGAGAACAUAACAAAUUCUCAACAACUGUUACUCCGGUCCUUGGCUAGUGACUAUUUUUAGUCAACACCUGAGUAGGUGCUCCUCUAAAGGACAGGUUUGAGUAACUCCUGAAUGUUCCUUCUAAUUAAAAGUGUAAGAAAGUGAGCUUACAGAAUUAUUUAAAGAUCACAAGUUUGAAGAUUUUCCCUAACAAUAACUAUAAAUAUCACCAACCCAUAUAAUCCUCCUCCUGUUUUUGGUGGUGAAAAUGUAAACUUCAAAAUAAAGAGGAACAAAAUUGGUGAUCUUGCAUUUGAAUUUAAGAUAUCUCAUGGAAAUUCAAAGUCCUAUUGCAAGACUAGAUACCCAUCAUCUCUCUGUCAUUACAGAUGUUUACCUGAAACAUUACAUCAAGCAACAGCUACACUAUCAACAUUUUUCUAAUUAAUGGAGAAGAAGAGGUAAUUGAGACAAGCAAAUCACUCUUCUUGAGUUAGCCAAACACUGACUACACUGUGUAAGGAGGCAGUAGCAGAAACUAGAUGGUAUAAAAAGUUAUACCGGGUCCACCAUGGUUGGGGAAACAGAAAUGGAAAAAGGAAAGGCUUGAUAUCUGAGACCAGGCUGAUGAAAAUCAUUGACUGAGGGCAUAAAUCAUCUGUGAAUAAUCUACUUGUACUUAACUGGAAGACUAAUGCAAAGCCAGAAAGAAUGUACAACAAAUCUGAGAAGGAGUGUAGCAUAAUUAAGGGCAGUUAGCAUAAUGGUUUAGAGAUCUAACUCUGGAGUCAAAGCCAAAAUUUUGUCAUUACUCCAUGAAAAGUAAUGUCUCUAAGCCUUAAUUUCUUCAUCUGUAAAAUGGUAUUAUUUAUUUUAUUUUUUAAAAAUAUGUCUUUAUUAAUCUCAGAGAG
Molecule: non-coding RNA, 1577 nt
Organism: Miniopterus natalensis
Lineage: Eukaryota; Metazoa; Chordata; Mammalia; Chiroptera; Miniopteridae
Source: RefSeq, a predicted model, not a curated record